Molecule: ribosomal RNA, 1008 nt
Filed under: Triticum aestivum (bread wheat)
Lineage: Eukaryota; Viridiplantae; Streptophyta; Magnoliopsida; Poales; Poaceae
Description: partial small subunit ribosomal RNA
Source: RNAcentral
AUGGAUCUGGUGAACGGCGUGCUCAACUGGGCGGCGAUGCCCGCCAUGGUCACCACCCUCCUGCUCCUCUACCCGCCCUACUACCUCUUCAAGCUCUGCUACUCCUUCCUCUCCUACCUCUUCCCCGACGACCUCAAGCGCAAGGUCGUCCUCAUCACCGGCGCCUCCUCCGGCAUCGGCGAGCAACUGGCCUACCAGUACGCCACCAAGGGGGCAUGCCUCGCCCUGGUCGCCAGGAGGGAGUGGAGCCUCCGGCAAGUCGCCGACCGCGCCUUCGAGCUCGGCGCGCCGGAUGUCAUCAUUCUCCCCGGCGACGUCGCAGACCCCGACGACUGCAACAGAUUCGUUCAGGCCGCGGUCGACCACUUCGGCCGAUUGGACCAUCUUGUGUGCAACGCUGGCAUUGCAAGCGUAGGCGCUUUUCAGGAGAUUCCCGAUGUCACUAACUACAGCUCUCAGCUUGAUGUGAACUUCUGGGGCGCAGUUCAGUCCACUUUUGCUGCUCUACCUCAUCUUAAAAGGACCCGAGGGAGGAUCGUGGUCACCGCCUCCGCAACCGGAUGGAACCCCGUUCCGUGCAUGGUUUUCUAUAAUGCUGCCAAUGCCGCACUGAUUAACUUCUUCGAGACGCUGCGGUCGGAGCUUGGCAGUGAAGUUGGCAUCACGAUAGUGACGCCCGGGUGGAUCGAGUCCGAGAUGUCCAAAGGAAAGUUUCUGAAGGAGGACGGCGGCGUGGAGGUUGAUCAAGAAUAUCGAGAUGCUCAAAUCGGCCUCUUCCCAGUGGAGUACGCCAAGAAGUGCGCGAGGGCCAUGGUGCAGGCAGCUCGCCAAGGCGACCGCUACCUCACCGUGCCGUCCUGGUUCGGAACAAUGUACCUGUGGAGGGUGUUUGCGCCGGAGGUCGUCGAGUUCUGCUACCGCCUCCUGUACAUGCACGGCCAUGGUGGCGGCGACCAGACCGAUGCGCCGAGCAAGACGAUGGCCCAGGGUGGCACCCCUCCUCGCUGA